UAUUUUCUUCGAGGGAGGGACCUAAAGUCCCGACCGGCGGUAACAGUCCGCAAUCCCUGUACCGGUUUCGUUGAGACGGCACAGGGGGGAUUCGGUGGGAUUCCGAAACCGACAGUGAAAGUCUGGAUGGGAGAAGAAAAUA
RNAcentral lists this non-coding RNA (142 nucleotides) under Marispirochaeta. RNAcentral describes it as "Candidatus Marispirochaeta FMN sequence". It matches the Rfam family "FMN riboswitch aptamer (RFN element)". From Rfam's summary of the family: The RFN element is a highly conserved domain that is found frequently in the 5'-untranslated regions of prokaryotic mRNAs that encode for flavin mononucleotide (FMN) biosynthesis and transport proteins. This element is a metabolite-dependent riboswitch that directly binds FMN in the absence of proteins. The record is from RNAcentral. Lineage: Bacteria; Pseudomonadati; Spirochaetota; Spirochaetia; Spirochaetales; Spirochaetaceae. RNAcentral also lists the same sequence under 1 other name.